Molecule: long non-coding RNA, 2682 nt
Filed under: Homo sapiens (human)
Lineage: Eukaryota; Metazoa; Chordata; Mammalia; Primates; Hominidae
Description: HSALNT0378215
Source: RNAcentral
UCAAGGAAUCAUUAAAAAGAAGGAAUCUAAGACUAUUUUAAAAAUUUCUCUCAAUGAUUUAAUAUUUGGGUUUUAUGUAUUUUAUUCCAUUUUAGCACUGUGAGAUAGCAUGAUUGCCUAAAGGACUGUAUUAAAGAUGAGUGCACAGUUCUGUCUUAUUUAUCUGCUGUCACAUUGUUUUGACACAGAAGAAAGUCAAGUAACAUUGAUGAAGAGCUAAAAUAUGCUCUAACUGUGGAAAAAAUAAAUAUAAAUUGUCCAUAGUUGCUCAAUUUCUAAAGUAAAAGGAAAAAAUACAGUGUAAGACUGUGAAUUAGUUCAGGAAGGUAAACUUAAGUAAUGUUUAUUUAACUUCAAGAUUUCAGUGGCUUAACUCAACAAAGGUCUGCUUCUUCUGCAUGUCACGGGACAAUGCUGGUUGGUAUGGAUGGCUCUUCUCCAUGCAGUAAUUCAGAGACACAGGCUUCUUUCAUCUAGUGAUUUAUUUUUCCCUGCAGCUUCAGAUACUCUUUUUCCCUCUCUCUGGGAUCCUUUGCAUCUGUCUGGCAGAUAUGGAGACGGAAAGCACAAGAGGAUUGUGUUAGGAGUCUUAAGGGCUGGAUGUGACACUCCUUGAAAGGGAAGCUGGGGAAUGAGUAUGUAGGUGUGUGUCCAGGAUGUAGGGAAAAUGGGUUUGGUGGGGACAGCACUUCCUGGAAUAACGUUGCUUUGGAUUUAACAACAGUUGGGCAAAGGAGGUCGGUAUACAGAUACAGGACAAGAAGAGUGGUGUCAAAGGGAGGCUAAAUCAUUGGUUCUGGCUUCAUCUAAGGAAUUCUUAUGAGAAAUCGAGGGAGAGACUGUCCUGGGAAGUCUGAUGAAACAUGAUCAAGAUAUUUUAACUUCUGUGUUUAGCGCCUUUAAUAGAUUGAGCUAAGAAGUCUAAGCAAUCUUCAGGGCUAAGAAACAAGCUGCACUUGCCAGAGUUGGAUGUUCACACCUUGGUGAUGGCUGAUAUUAAACAGAAUUCUUAAUGAACAAAUCGGCCUUGAAAAGGGAACAUGGUGAAGCAAGACAAAAGAAUUACAAACUUUGACUGAAACUUUCUCCUACCAGGAAUACAGGGACCGCUCACCAGGUUGUGAUGAGAAGGAUCAUCUGAAAUGCUCCAUUGCUCUCAGAAGUUGAGGUAACUUCAUUGGGCCCAAACUGAUAAACUAGGAAUGGCUCAGAAAAUAGCCCCUUAGAAGAACUGUAUGAAGCUUGGAUCCAUUUUUCUGUUUCACUGACCCUUCUUAACCGCUAGUGGCUCAGAGGUCUGGUGAGGUGGUGAGAGCUGUCCUAGAUGACAUGCACCUGGAGCCCAAAUGUGGGAGAAAAAAGAAAAAUCCCUCCAAUGAUUUGGUGAGGAGUUGAAGACAAAUAUCUUUAUUAUUUAUAAGUAUUCUGGCCAAGACAAUGAGUGUUGGAGUGGGAGGAUGAGGGAAUUUUAUGAUGAACGACAGCACAGCAAGAUGGACAGUAAGGCUCUGUCAUUGCCAUACCAGAUGUACAGAAGUGGCAUUUCAACUAAGGACACUGAAUAUGAAACAGACCUUGGAAAAGAGAGGAUGGAGUUAACUCUGAGAACAGAAAUCACCUACCUCUCUCCUCCCUAAACACACAGCUUACUGUCUAUAAUAAUAUACCCUUACUGGUCCAUUGUCCUCAUUAACAUAACUACAAUUCCAGGAGACUCUUGCCCAGGCAAAUUGCUUUAUUGUUCAUUACAGAGAGUUUUUGAAACAAAGAACCAUCAAUGCUUCAACAGAAAGCAUCAACAGUUUAUACCCCAAGAUCUUAGAACUCCUCACUUCCAAAUCCUCACUAUGCUAAUCCUAAACUAUUAUGUCAUGAUUUUUACCUAAACAAGACCCUGCAUGGAAAGAUCCUCUUUAUACAAUCUUUCAUUUUUUUGUCCUGGCUUUAAAAUGCAAAGCCCAUAUCCUUGGAAUUCCCUCUGUCUUGGGCAAAGUGUGACAGUUGGCCACCCUACUCCAAAAUCUCAUAAUUUUCCCACCUUGCCCCUCUAGAGACUAUCAAUCUCUGUUGAGGUGGUUCUCUCUUUCCAGGGUGAGCAAUAAACUCCUUGCCAGAGCUUUCCAUUGGGGGAGGAGGGUUUGAACUACUGCCAGAGACAAACAGAUGUAAACUAGAUGCAGGAGUUUGGAAAUUGAGCAGGGUUUGCAGUCUGGAAAAUUGCUCCACAAGAGACUGUCGUUGAACGAGUAGUCCUGAGUGAGUGGUCUAAGAGAACGUCAGAGUGAAAGAAAAUGCAGCCCACCUGGGUCAGCUGAAAAGGUAGAGAAUAAAAGGGAAAUGAAAUGCAGCUGCUAGUAACAGUUGAUUAAAUGAGGCUGGCAACUUACAUGGAGGCUGGAAGAGGAGAAAUGUGGGAGAGGCAGCAAGGAGAGAGAAGGAAACAUGAAGGAGGAGAAGAUUUCUAGAAGGAAAUGUAAGAGCUACAAAGGAGAAAGAUGAAUGAGAGACCCCACAAGAAAACAGCAGGGAAAAGAAGCUGCUUUCUGAGUUGAUGGUUGUUUCUAGUUUGGGGCUAUUAUGAAGAAAGCUGCUAUGAAGAACAUCCAUGUACAAAUCAUUUUAUGGACACACAUACUCAUUGCUCUUGGGUAAAUAUCUAGGAAUAUGAUUUAUGGAUCAUAG